This 682-nucleotide ribosomal RNA is filed under the name uncultured bacterium. RNAcentral's name for it is "bacterial SSU rRNA". It matches the Rfam family "Bacterial small subunit ribosomal RNA", at positions 94 to 773 of the family's 1533-position model. The record is from RNAcentral.
AGUGGCGGACGGGUGAGUAACGCGUAGGAAUCUGCCUGUUAGUGGGGGACAACGUGGGGAAACCCACGCUAAUACCGCAUACGCCCUACGGGGGAAAGGAGGGGAUCUUCGGACCUUUCGCUAACAGAUGAGCCUGCGUUAGAUUAGCUAGUUGGUAGGGUAAAGGCCUACCAAGGCGACGAUCUAUAGCUGGUCUGAGAGGACGAUCAGCCACACUGGGACUGAGACACGGCCCAGACUCCUACGGGAGGCAGCAGUGGGGAAUAUUGGACAAUGGGCGAAAGCCUGAUCCAGCAAUACCGCGUGUGUGAAGAAGGCCUUAGGGUUGUAAAGCACUUUCAAUUGGGAGGAAAACCUACCGGUCAAUACCCGGUAGCUUGACAUUACCUUUAGAAGAAGCACCGGCUAACUCCGUGCCAGCAGCCGCGGUAAUACGGAGGGUGCGAGCGUUAAUCGGAAUUACUGGGCGUAAAGCGUGCGUAGGCGGUUCGUUAAGUCAGAUGUGAAAGCCCUGGGCUCAACCUGGGAACUGCAUUUGAAACUGGCGGACUAGAGUUUAGUAGAGGGGAGUGGAAUUUCAGGUGUAGCGGUGAAAUGCGUAGAUAUCUGAAGGAACACCAGUGGCGAAGGCGACUCCCUGGACUAGAACUGACGCUGAGGUACGAAAGCGUGGGUAGCAAAC